GUAGGGAAUAUUGGACAAUGGGCGCAAGCCUGAUCCAGCAAUGCCGCGUGCAGGAAGAAUGCCUUCGGGUUGUAAACUGCUUUUGUACGGAACGAAACGGUCCUGGUUAAUACCUGGGGCUAAUGACGGUACCGUAAGAAUAAGCACCGGCUAACUACGUGCCAGCAGCCGCGGUAAUACGUAGGGUGCGAGCGUUAAUCGGAAUUACUGGGCGUAAAGCGUGCGCAGGCGGUGCUGUAAGACAGGCGUGAAAUCCCCGGGCUCAACCUGGGAAUUGCGCUUGUGACUGCAGUGCUGGAGUACGGCAGAGGGGGAUGGAAUUCCGCGUGUAGCAGUGAAAUGCGUAGAUAUGCGGAGGAACACCGAUGGCGAAGGCAGUCCCCUGGGCCUGUACUGACGCUCAUGCACGAAAGCGUGGGGAGCAAACAGGAUUAGAAACCCCUGUAGUCC
This 450-nucleotide ribosomal RNA is filed under the name uncultured bacterium. RNAcentral describes it as "partial 16S ribosomal RNA". It matches the Rfam family "Bacterial small subunit ribosomal RNA", at positions 354 to 796 of the family's 1533-position model. The record is from RNAcentral.